CCUACGGGAGGCAGCAGUGGGGAAUAUUGGGCAAUGGAGGCAACUCUUACCCAGCAAUGCCGCGUGAAUGAAGAAGGUCUUCGGAUUGUAAAGUUCUUUAAUUGGGGACGAAAAAAAUGACGGUACCCAAGGAAUAAGCCCCGGCUAACUACGUGCCAGCAGCCGCGGUAAUACGUAGGGGGCAAGCGUUGUUCGGAAUGACUGGGCGUAAAGGGUGGGUAGGCGGUGUGAGAAGUUAGAAGUGGAAUACCGAGGGCUUAACUCAGGUGCUGCUUCUGAAACUGGUAUACUUGAGUGCAGUAGAGGGAAGUGGAAUUCCUGGUGGAGCGGUGGAAUGCGUAGAUAUUAGGAGGAACAUCAGUGGCGAAGGCGACUUUCUGGACUGUAACUGACGCUGAGGCACGAAAGUGUGGGGAGCAAACAGGAUUAGAUACCCGUGUAGUC
This 444-nucleotide ribosomal RNA is filed under the name uncultured bacterium. Its description in RNAcentral is "partial 16S ribosomal RNA". It matches the Rfam family "Bacterial small subunit ribosomal RNA", at positions 338 to 795 of the family's 1533-position model. The record is from RNAcentral.